CGCGGCCUAUCAGCUUGUUGGUGAGGUGAUGGCUCACCAAGACGAUGACGGGUAGCCGGCCUGAGAGGGCGACCGGCCACACUGGGACUGAGACACGGCCCAGACUCCUACGGGAGGCAGCAGUGGGGAAUAUUGCACAAUGGGCGAAAGCCUGAUGCAGCGACGCCGCGUGGGGGAUGACGGCCUUCGGGUUGUAAACCCCUUUCAGUAGGGAAGAAGCGAGAGUGACGGUACCUGCAGAAGAAGCGCCGACUAACUACGUGCCAGCAGCCGCGGUAAUACGUAGGGCGCAAGCGUUGUCCGGAAUUAUUGGGCGUAAAGAGCUUGUAGGUGGCUUGUCGCGUCUGCCGUGAAAACCCGAGGCUCAACCUCGGGCGUGCGGUGGGUACGGGCAGGCUAGAGUGUGGUAGGGGAGACUGGAACUCCUGGUGUAGCGGUGAAAUGCGCAGAUAUCAGGAAGAACACCGAUGGCAAAGGCAGGUCUCUGGGCCAUUACUGACACUGAGAAGCGAAAGCAUGGGUAGCGAACAGGAUUAGAUACCCUGGUAGUCCAUGCCGUAAACGUUGGGCACUAGGUGUGGGGGACAUUCCACGUUUUCCGUGCCGAAGCUAACGCAUUAAGUGCCCCGCCUGGGGAGUACGG
This 643-nucleotide ribosomal RNA is filed under the name uncultured bacterium. Its description in RNAcentral is "bacterial SSU rRNA". It matches the Rfam family "Bacterial small subunit ribosomal RNA", at positions 232 to 885 of the family's 1533-position model. The record is from RNAcentral.